GGGGAGACUUUCAUAUCUGGUCAAGGUCAUUAAUAUUAUUUUGUAUUUUUACUUGGAAUAAAUUAAUUUUAUGAUGCUAAUUCUUUAAAAAAAAACUUUAUUUUUUCGUUUGUUCACUAUAUUAUUUUUUGAAGCUGAAAAACUUUUGUAAUAUUGUUACUAGUGUCUAGAUUUUUUGAAAUGCAAAGCUUUGUGUUAACUCGCUGAUGUUGCUUACAUUAGUGUGACAAUGAUCUAAGGGGAGGAAAAACUACAAAAAAAGAACUUGAUGACAGAUGGUCUCAUUUAAGUGAUUGGCAAUGUGAAAUGAAUGAACAGGCAAUAAAUAAAGAGGCAGAAUGGUGCAGAAUGUGGUAUGUUGUGAUAUUGUGAAAACUAGACAAGGCUAUUUACCAAUCCCCCUGCUUCUGCUAUGACUAAUAAAGCCCCAUCUUGUAUAGUCCAUAACCACACUGUCAAUGUAACACUGCUGUUGAUUCGAAAGAUCACACAAAUGUAAAUCCUCUCACAUGACCCUCCCUUUAUUUUGCAAUAGUGGGUUAACCCCUGUAGGAAUCUAAGGAGGCCAUGUGUAACAGUGAGAUUGUAUUGAAAUAUGAAUGUAAAUGUGAAAAUACAAUGUCUAAUGAAGUGAAAGGGAUUACUAGUUGCAAUCAAGUCACCUUAUUAGGAGGCAUGGAUCUGUUUAUCUUUCUAUCCCUAAACUGACCAGAUGGUUCAAAUACAUGUACCCUCUAACUAAUUUCCUCUUUGAUAUUAUGUGGCCCACUUGUAGCAGAUGACAUUGACCUGAUUUCACCCUCAAUUAGUCCUAACUUACUGUACUACAGUAUGGUCUACAAGAGAAAAACCCAAUGCAAAUGCUGGUCUGAGAACAUGACUUGCUGCUUUGCUUUUUCUACAAGUUUGUACAAGUGGUGUUUUACUAAUAACCCUUGUACUAACCAAUGGUUGCUUUCUCCCAAGGUCAGUAUUACAGUCAUACUAUCAAGUAUUUGUUUUGUAUUUAUCCUUUUUUCUGCAGAGCAAAGUUGUAUACCCUGACAAUAAGCAAUUGUCUAUGUGCAACUGAAAGGCACAGUUAGAUUAAGAUUUGUCCGGAAGAAAAUCAUCCCUGGCAAUUUCAUAUAAUCCUCUAUAAAUAUUCCUUUCCUAUAUAUUUCAUGCAACACUAGAUUUGAAUAGUAUGUAUUCACUUAAGAUUCAUCGACAUUCUCUCUGGGUAAUCAGUAGACGUCUUCAUCAUUGUAAUCUCAAAAAAGGAAAAAGAUUUGAACACAUGCUCAAUAUUUUUUUUUCUCAGACAAAACCACUAGUUUAUAAAUUUACUUUUAAAAAGUAAUCUUUUUUUUUUCUCCGAUACUAUACUUGCUAUUUUUGGUUUUAUUACUGGACGAGGCUUUCAGAUUGUUGACUUGGACCUAUGCUUGUCUGAAUUUGCAUUACAACUGUGAUAAAAAAAAAUUUAAAAAACAUGGCGCUCUAUGCUGCUAAUGCUUACUACUACUGCUUCAAGUUUGUAGUUCCCACCUUUUUCAGUUUCUGUACUAAUACCAAUCAAAUCUUAUUAAACGUAGCUGUAUGACGGUG
Long non-coding RNA from Esox lucius (northern pike), 1590 nucleotides. The record is from Ensembl. Lineage: Eukaryota; Metazoa; Chordata; Actinopteri; Esociformes; Esocidae.